Molecule: non-coding RNA, 1292 nt
Organism: Notechis scutatus (mainland tiger snake)
Lineage: Eukaryota; Metazoa; Chordata; Lepidosauria; Squamata; Elapidae
Source: RefSeq, a predicted model, not a curated record
UCUCCUGUUUUAUUUUCCAUUUUGUGAAUUCUUUAUUCAUUCUUUGUAACUCUUUGUUGAAAAUUUUCUAGCUGGGAAUUUAUGUUAAGGACUUGUUCAUUUAUCUUACCUAUUUUUUCUUCCAUCUUGUGUUGAUUACUUUUUAUCUCACUUUUUAUAUCAUCGUGAUUCUUUCUUAUAUCUUCUUUUUGUGAGACAAUUACUUCCUGAAUCAUCUGUAAUGUUAUCUGCAUUUCUUUUUGAAAGUUGUUAGAUUUUUCUUGCUGGAGCAUUAAAUCACCAGCACAUUUUGGUGUAUAGGACUAGGAGCCUCAGAGGAAGGUGAGGAGGUUUUUACCAAUUUUAGUGAGAUAUGAGGUACUCAUUUUUAUUUUCCCCCAGCAAAUGUUCAAGUUCUUCAGCUAAUAACUAGUAAAUGUUAACAUUUUCUAAUAUAGCCAAAAUUAUUCAACUUAUCAAAAAGCAAUUUAAAUUACAUCUUAAAUCUUACAACUUUUAACUAUACAGUUUAUUCUCGUUCCUUUGUCUAUAGGCUUUAUAAUCUCACAGGUUCCAAUAAUCCAGUAUUUGAAUCCACCAGAGCAAACUAAGGUUUUUAAAUCCAGCUUUCUCAAUCAGAGUUGCAGUUCAACCAGCGUUUGUAAUCCAAAUUCUGAGACCUGUAUAACCAGCUUGUCUUGCCCAAUCAAUAAAUCCAAGUCAAUUGGUGUUUGUAAUCCACAAUAGCCUGUUGGCUUUUACUAGUCCAAACAAUAAAUCCCACAAAAUAAUAAAGAGUGAAAUGCCUUGUUUUCUCUAUUUGCCAGCUGUGCCUUAUUCAGUUGAUAAAUUCUCGGCUUCAAAGUCACCACCAGUUAUUUAUGUCUGGGCUUAAAGCCACAUCUUCUGCUUACAUUUCAACAAUAUUGUCCUCUUUGCCAUAAGGUGUCACUCUCCCUCAAUUAAUUCUUCAGGAAUCCGUAACACAAAUAAAGUUUAAUGUUCUUUGAUUAGUUAUUUUGAACCAUCUUUGCUCUCAAAAGCUUUAAAAAAUGUCCUCAAUGUUUGCCAUACAGAGGUUUUUUUUCUUAUAUGUUCAUUCUGGUUUUCUAUUUUAGUUUCCCAUUUGGGCCCCUCAUUUGUUUGGCUGCCAUUUUUCCCCUCUCGUGAGGGGGUGUAUAUUUCCCCCUUCCUCCAGUCGCUUCUUGGGGCUUUUCUUUUAGGAUUUAUCUGUUCCAGGAAGUAUUUUUCAAAGGGAUAGAGAAAAAGUAGUCUUACCCAGCUUCAAAGCAUGAUUUUGAUAAUAAUUCAGA